RNAcentral lists this ribosomal RNA (497 nucleotides) under uncultured bacterium. Its description in RNAcentral is "partial 16S ribosomal RNA". It matches the Rfam family "Bacterial small subunit ribosomal RNA", at positions 28 to 507 of the family's 1533-position model. The record is from RNAcentral.
GAUGAACGCUGGCGGCGUGCCUAAUACAUGCCAGUCGAGCGAACGGACGAGAAGCUUGCUUCUCUGAUGUUAGCGGCGGACGGGUGAGUAACACGUGGAUAACCUACCUAUAAGACUGGGAUAACUUCGGGAAACCGGAGCUAAUACCGGAUAAUAUUUUGAACCGCAUGGUUCAAAAGUGAAAGACGGUCUUGCUGUCACUUAUAGAUGGAUCCGCGCUGCAUUAGCUAGUUGGUAAGGUAACGGCUUACCAAGGCAACGAUGCAUAGCCGACCUGAGAGGGUGAUCGGCCACACUGGAACUGAGACACGGUCCAGACUCCUACGGGAGGCAGCAGUAGGGAAUCUUCCGCAAUGGGCGAAAGCCUGACGGAGCAACGCCGCGUGAGUGAUGAAGGUCUUCGGAUCGGAAAACUCUGUUAUUAGGGAAGAACAUAUGUGUAAGUAACUGUGCACAUCUUGACGGUACCUAAUCAGAAAGCCACGGCUAACUACGUG